AGAGUUACGUACUCGUGAAUUGGUAUUUACAAAACCGUUCGUAGCCGCAAACGUAACUUACGAUGUACGAUUGCACGUACGCGUGCGCAGUGGCUAUUUUCACUUCGAAGCGUAAAAAGUGUGAAUUUGCUCAUUUACUUUGAAUUCCCUGCGCUACCGCCGCAUUAUGACGAAAAAGAACACAGAAUUUUGUGAGAAAGCAACGAAUUUCAACGUAUACGUAUGCCUGCCAACGGCAUGUCGAUCAACUGUACCGUUAUUCAGUGUUGUUUACAAAUCCAAAUGGAAGGUUCAUGAAAUUUAACGCAUUUGACUUGUGCAUGGAUCUGCGAUGCUGUAGGUGUUCAAAAAGAAGUCGGCAUGGACUGACAAGUAAGUUAAGUUGUUUGUGUAGUAAUAACCUUAAAUGUUUUACCACUGACUACUCGUCACUAGGCCCCUAAAUAAUGUUAAAUUGACUUCAAGGGGAUUCAGUACAUGACACACAUGGUAAAAUCACAGUCCCUUAUUCAUUUUGUUCUCAACCUAUGUAGCUGCUAUAAUGCCUGGAUCUUAAUUUCUAAAUAGUGAGCACAUAUACAUAUGUGUUAGUUAUUUACAAUUUGAUAUGUGCCCACUAUUAACACAUUAAGACACAAGCUCAUUUGUGUACAUGGUAACUUCAAACUUUUGACAAUACCACAAUUGAAAUUCAAAAUUAUUUAUCCCAUUUUUUUAAUUUCAUGACUGGGACAACAUCAAAGCAGUAUCAUAGCUACCUGUACACAAGUACGCACAUGCUUUCACAUCAUUUCGCAAAAAGAAAAACAAGAAUAUUGGUGAAAAAUGAAUCUAAAAUAUACAUUAUAUAUACAGGCACUAAUUCUAAAAUGUGUGUUUUGUAUGUGCCCCUCUAUUGCAUAGUUAUAAAAUAUGAAAUUAUUAUUGUUUUAACAAUAUAUACUCUGGGUGAACAGGUAGAUAGGAUGAAUGGACUUGGUACCAGAUGAGAACAGUUACAGUCUCUUUUAGCAUCAUUUCAAUUAUAUUGCUUGUGCACAUCCAUGUGCAAAACUUUCAGAAAAUAUUGUGAAACAAAAUCGCAUUCAAAUACAGUUGUACAACUGCGUGAAGUCAGUGUUAAUUUAUUUAAUGUAGAAUAACAUUGACUAUAUAUUAAUUGGAGAUAUUAGGUGUGAUAUACAUGUAACAUGCACUAGAUAUCCAAGUUAGCUGACCUCUUUUAUUUUUCAAAGGGUCAUAAAGAUGGUCAAGAAAUAAAUUGCCAUCAGACAGCAGCAUUCCUUGAUUUAGAUGCAUUUCUCUUCAUGUCCUCUCCUGAAAAAUUUUCCAUGAUGCCUCAGGGUUAGGAUUGGGAUGCAAGAUGUACAGUACAUAUAUAUGAUGUCUAUGGGUACAUUGCUGUAAUGGCCUGAAAAAUGUUUUGCGAAACCGAGAAAUGUUCAUCUUCCAUUGCCUUGAUUGUGUAAAAGGACGAGCAGAGGAAUGAUUCAAAAAUAUAUGGCAGGAUUGAGAAUCUAACCCAUGACCCGUAGUCUGGUACUCUACCCACUGAUCAAUCCAUGCUGAUGGUCCAUCUGCUACAUUGAUGUCAUCUUAUAUAUUUAUUUAUUCAUUUAUAUCAUAUGGACAUUUAAAAAUUGACAGUAAAAUAAAAAAAAGUUUGAUAUUCAGCAAAAUAAAAUUUGUUACAAUACAUGUUUAAGAAAUUAAGUACAUGUACAUGCAUUGUUAUGCAUACAAUUAUGUACAUGUAAUUAUAUUUGUUAAUAGAUAACUUUUUAGAUGAAUUUUCAUGUUGUUAUUGAUAUUGACAUGUACAUGUAUUACUUCCAUUUCUAGAAUGAUUUUAACAUCUUGAUAUUAAAAAGAUGACAUAAUAAAUAAAUCUUAAAUAUUUGUCAACAAAGUUGUCUGGUGGGUUAAAAUUUGUAAAGAGGAGCAUUAGUACAUAUGUCGGUUUAAUGUGAGAAGCCUUCAGAAUGAACUUUUAUCAGUGAGAUUUUUGUAAAUUGGAGGGGGGGGGAUGGGCUUCAACAAAAUAAUAUGUAUGUUGAAGGCAUCAUCCUUGGAGUUUGGUAAUAUACACUGCAAAGACUUUUACCUAGCUGAUCACAUAUAAAGGUCAAUUACAUACAAAUCAUGAAUGGUAGAAAGAUUCAUAUAUAUGCAUUAUCAAUGAAGGUUUGACUCCUGUAGGAUUAUAGUUAAAGGAAAUGGCACUCUGAAAGAUUGAAAGUCUACACAUGACUACACUAGUAGGCAUCACAAUUGCUCUCUGAAACAAAUUACACAAAAUUGUAUUAUUGGAAUGAAAUGCAUAUCUUUUUUUUUUUAAAGAAAUAUUUAUUUAGAGGCUCAUUUCCCUGUUGUGUAAGUUACAAUGUAACAAAGUUAUUUGGACUACCAAUAUUUGCUUAUAACCACAAAGAAAAGAUCACAUAUCUAUAAGUAGAAAUGGUUUUUCUAUAGCUGUCAAUCACCAUGUAUUCUUGUACACACAGUGACUCUCUUCUUUUCAAAUCUAAAACAUUGCAUGUUUGAUUGCAUAUAUAUACAUUAAUUCUACCAUGUUUGGAAAAUUAAAAAAAAUGUAUUUCCCUGAAAGAUGCUAGACCUACCCUGUAUAAUAAGAUAAAUGGCAAAUAUUCUUUUUUUUUUUUUUUAAAUAACCUGCAUGACUAAAAUAAAAAGCUUCCCAAUUAUUUCUAAAGGCAAGGUUAGAUCCACCCAGUCUGAUUAAAAUCAAAUUUCGCAUUUUGCUCGAUAUACGGACAGCGACUGUCCGUAUAUCGAGCGAAGUGAGAAGUUUGAUUUUAAAUCAGACUGAGAUCCGCCACAAGGUAAAUUAGAUCGGGCUCAAAAUUUAGAGAAUUGUCACACAAUUGCAGAUGAUCUCAAAGAAAACGAUAAUCUGAAUAAAUACAAUUAAUUUGUGUAUUACUAACCAGCUUAUAUGCAUCUAGAGGGUUUGUAAGGUCUUUACGCAAGAAAUUAUCGAUAAAAAUGACAAGUCGCCAUUUGCUUUGUUUAUUCUUAAAGUUACGAUCAGCUUACGUGUACUAGUAUAGCACACGUAGAGUUACGCUUAUUUCUGACGUAAAUCUACGUCUACAACUGUUAGUGAAUACCGUCCC
This is a long non-coding RNA of Ostrea edulis (European flat oyster), 3137 nucleotides long. RefSeq lists it as uncharacterized. The record is from RefSeq and is a predicted model, not a curated record. The transcript has 2 exons. NCBI's taxonomy places the organism in Eukaryota, Metazoa, Mollusca, Bivalvia, Ostreida, Ostreidae.